CUUUACCGAAGGGUUGAUCAGACGCUUCCGUUAUAAGUUGAGAUUCGUCUGAGAAGAUUUCGACAAGAAAC
RNAcentral lists this microRNA precursor (71 nucleotides) under Nematostella vectensis (starlet sea anemone). RNAcentral's name for it is "microRNA nve-mir-9464 precursor". The record is from miRBase by way of RNAcentral. Lineage: Eukaryota; Metazoa; Cnidaria; Anthozoa; Actiniaria; Edwardsiidae.